This 78-nucleotide microRNA precursor is filed under the name Loxodonta africana (African savanna elephant). Its description in RNAcentral is "miRNA (ENSLAFG00000024096.2)". Lineage: Eukaryota; Metazoa; Chordata; Mammalia; Proboscidea; Elephantidae. The record is from RNAcentral.
AUACAUACGCAUGUGUGUAUGUGUGCAUGUGUAUGUACAUGUAUGCAUGCUUAUACAUGUGUUUGUAUGUAUGUAUGU